GGCGCUGAUGUGUGGGGACCUCUCUGAGCGGUGAGGAGGCUUCCAGUCUCCCUUGCUGAGCC
Molecule: small nucleolar RNA, 62 nt
Filed under: Thermofilum pendens Hrk 5
Lineage: Archaea; Thermoproteati; Thermoproteota; Thermoprotei; Thermofilales; Thermofilaceae
Description: C/D box small nucleolar RNA
Source: RNAcentral